Molecule: ribosomal RNA, 253 nt
Filed under: uncultured bacterium
Lineage: Bacteria
Description: partial 16S ribosomal RNA
Rfam family: Bacterial small subunit ribosomal RNA
Source: RNAcentral
UACAGAGGUCUCAAGCGUUGUUCGGAUUCAUUGGGCGUAAAGGGCGCGUAGGCGGCGCGGUAAGUCACUUGUGAAAUCUCUGAGCUUAACUCAGAACGGCCAAGUGAUACUGCAGUGCUAGAGUGCAGAAAGGGCAAUCGGAAUUCUUGGUGUAGCGGUGAAAUGCGUAGAUAUCAAGAGGAACACCUGAGGCGAAGGCGGGUUGCUAGGCUGACACUGACGCUGAGGCGCGAAAGCCAGGGGAGCAAACGGG